GAGAAGUGCGGGUGCUAAUACAUGCAAGUCGAGCGGACAGAAGGGAGCUUGCUCCCGGAUGUUAGCGGCGGACGGGUGAGUAACACGUGGGUAACCUGCCUGUAAGACUGGGAUAACUCCGGGAAACCGGAGCUAAUACCGGAUAGUUCCUUGAACCGCAUGGUUCAAGGAUGAAAGACGGUUUCGGCUGUCACUUACAGAUGGACCCGCGGCGCAUUAGCUAGUUGGUGAGGUAACGGCUCACCAAGGCGACGAUGCGUAGCCGACCUGAGAGGGUGAUCGGCCACACUGGGACUGAGACACGGCCCAGACUCCUACGGGAGGCAGCAGUAGGGAAUCUUCCGCAAUGGACGAAAGUCUGACGGAGCAACGCCGCGUGAGUGAUGAAGGUUUUCGGAUCGUAAAGCUCUGUUGUUAGGGAAGAACAAGUGCAAGAGUAACUGCUUGCACCUUGACGGUACCUAACCAGAAAGCCACGGCUAACUACGUGCCAGCAGCCGCGGUAAUACGUAGGUGGCAAGCGUUGUCCGGAAUUAUUGGGCGUAAAGGGCUCGCAGGCGGUUUCUUAAGUCUGAUGUGAAAGCCCCCGGCUCAACCGGGGAGGGUCAUUGGAAACUGGGAAACUUGAGUGCAGAAGAGGAGAGUGGAAUUCCACGUGUAGCGGUGAAAUGCGUAGAGAUGUGGAGGAACACCAGUGGCGAAGGCGACUCUCUGGUCUGUAACUGACGCUGAGGAGCGAAAGCGUGGGGAGCGAACAGGAUUAGAUACCCUGGUAGUCCACGCCGUAAACGAUGAGUGCUAAGUGUUAGGGGGUUUCCGCCCCUUAGUGCUGCAGCUAACGCAUUAAGCACUCCGCCUGGGGAGUACGGUCGCAAGACUGAAACUCAAAGGAAUUGACGGGGGCCCGCACAAGCGGUGGAGCAUGUGGUUUAAUUCGAAGCAACGCGAAGAACCUUACCAGGUCUUGACAUCCUCUGACAACCCUAGAGAUAGGGCUUUCCCUUCGGGACAGAGUGACAGUGUGCAUGGUGUCGUCAGCUCGUGUCGUGAGAUGUUGGGUUAAGUCCCGCAACGAGGCGCAACCCUUGAUCUUAGUUGC
Molecule: ribosomal RNA, 1099 nt
Filed under: Bacillus sp. C-33
Lineage: Bacteria; Bacillati; Bacillota; Bacilli; Caryophanales; Bacillaceae
Description: bacterial SSU rRNA
Rfam family: Bacterial small subunit ribosomal RNA
Source: RNAcentral